UACGUAGGGGGCAAGCGUUGUCCGGAAUCAUUGGGCGUAAAGAGCGUGUAGGCGGCCUGGUAAGUCCGCUGUGAAAGUCCAGGGCUCAACCCUGGAAUGCCGGUGGAAACUGUCAGGCUCGAGUCCGGAAGAGGCGAGUGGAAUUCCUGGUGUAGCGGUGAAAUGCGCAGAUAUCAGGAGGAACACCGGUGGCGAAGGCGGCCCCCUGGCUCGUACCUGACGCUCAGCCACGAAAGCAUGGGGAGCGAACGGG
Molecule: ribosomal RNA, 253 nt
Filed under: uncultured bacterium
Lineage: Bacteria
Description: partial 16S ribosomal RNA
Rfam family: Bacterial small subunit ribosomal RNA
Source: RNAcentral